GCCAUAGCUCAGUGGGAUGGCAUCUGCUUUGCAUGCAGAAGGUCCCAAGUUCACUCCCUGGCAUCUGCA
RNAcentral lists this transfer RNA (69 nucleotides) under Podarcis lilfordi (Lilford's wall lizard). Its description in RNAcentral is "tRNA.Ala". Lineage: Eukaryota; Metazoa; Chordata; Lepidosauria; Squamata; Lacertidae. The record is from RNAcentral.